GACGAACGCUGGCGGCGUGCCUAAUACAUGCAAGUAGAACGCUGAAGGAGGAGCUUGCUUCUCUGGAUGAGUUGCGAACGGGUGAGUAACGCGUAGGUAACCUGCCUGGUAGCGGGGGAUAACUAUUGGAAACGAUAGCUAAUACCGCAUAAUAGCAGUUAUUGCAUGAUAACUGUUUGAAAGGUGCAAUUGCACCACUACCAGAUGGACCUGCGUUGUAUUAGCUAGUUGGUGGGGUAACGGCUCACCAAGGCGACGAUACAUAGCCGACCUGAGAGGGUGAUCGGCCACACUGGGACUGAGACACGGCCCAGACUCCUACGGGAGGCAGCAGUAGGGAAUCUUCGGCAAUGGACGGAAGUCUGACCGAGCAACGCCGCGUGAGUGAAGAAGGUUUUCGGAUCGUAAAGCUCUGUUGUAAGAGAAGAACGAGUGUGAGAGUGGAAAGUUCACACUGUGACGGUAUCUUACCAGAAAGGGACGGCUAACUACGUGCCAGCAGCCGCGGUAAUACGUAGGUCCCGAGCGUUGUCCGGAUUUAUUGGGCGUAAAGCGAGCGCAGGCGGUUAGAUAAGUCUGAAGUUAAAGGCUGUGGCUUAACCAUAGUACGCUUUGGAAACUGUUUAACUUGAGUGCAAGAGGGGAGAGUGGAAUUCCAUGUGUAGCGGUGAAAUGCGUAGAUAUAUGGAGGAACACCGGUGGCGAAAGCGGCUCUCUGGCUUGUAACUGACGCUGAGGCUCGAAAGCGUGGGGAGCGAACAGG
Molecule: ribosomal RNA, 763 nt
Filed under: uncultured Streptococcus sp.
Lineage: Bacteria; Bacillati; Bacillota; Bacilli; Lactobacillales; Streptococcaceae
Description: bacterial SSU rRNA
Rfam family: Bacterial small subunit ribosomal RNA
Source: RNAcentral